Lontra canadensis (Northern American river otter) is the source of this 880-nucleotide long non-coding RNA. RefSeq lists it as uncharacterized. The transcript is spliced from 2 exons. Lineage: Eukaryota; Metazoa; Chordata; Mammalia; Carnivora; Mustelidae. The record is from RefSeq and is a predicted model, not a curated record.
CCACAACUCAUGAGAUCACAACCUGAAUGGAAACCAAGAGUGGGAUGCCUAACCGACAGUCAUCCAGGCGCCCCAAAUUAACAUUUGUUAAGUAAAACUCUUGGGAUGUUUGAUGGUGAGCCCAGGUGCUAUAAGAGGCCACAAGGAAAAUUGGAAAUAGAGAGUUCAUUACUCACAGGUCCUUGGAGGUCCAUGACAGAUUUUGAAAGUAGGAGAGGAGUGAUAGCAUGAAUACAUUGAUUGUUACUAUAAGUGCAGCUCAUAGCCUGACUGCAGGUAAGGAGGCAAAUAUAUAUAAAAUAGUUUGGGACAAUUUAUUGUAGAGGGCGUCUAGGAAAGGUUAAGUUGUAGUUACAUCUUCUGUUUUGUUAGUCGGAAAAGUAUGUUACACAUUUUAGGAUUCUCUUCUAAAGUUAAAAAAAAAGUUUGCAUAUGGUGUAAACCCUCAGCUAAUUGAGAAAACUCACCUAUUCAGAAGACACAGCUUUAGUAGUUCCUGGAAGGAGUGAGAAACCCUUAUUGAUUCGGAAAUGAAGCAUAGUGUUUGUUUUUUUAUCCCUUGUUUUCGACAAAACAGAUGAAAUAAUAGUGAAAUUGUCAUUGCUUAGACUGGUGUAGGUGUCAGUAGUACUGUUGGGAAAGGGCAGUAAGCCAUAAUAGAGGAGUUGGCACAUCUAGGGGGACAUAACACCUGAGGUGGUGGCCAACAGUAUAAUACAAUUUUCAGUGUGUGGGCUUUCCGAGGGAACUGCAGAGUGGAAGAUACUUUCAGGGUAGUACUAAGUUGUUACUUUGCUUUUACCGUGUUGAUAUCUGCACUGAUGGUGUCAAAGCAGUGGAAAAUAAAUCUGCUUCUGCCUGAGUACAGAGGUACCAAAUU